GCCGUCCCCCGCGGUGUCCCGCCUGUGACCUCUUCCUCCCGUCCUCCAGGAGACGCCUCUGAGCCAGCCCAGCUGGCCGCCACCGGGCCUUCGCUGUCUGUGUCCACAGCUGCACCGGGCAGCCGCCUAGCCUCAGCCAGCCCAGGGAGGGCGCUCCAGCCCCAAUCCUUUUAAAUUUCCCAAGAGAAGUCAGUGAGUCCCUGAAGCCCAAAGGGACAAGUCGAGCUCUCCAAAGGACUUGUGUCCAGAGCGCAUCAGGAACAUCAUCCAAGUGGCCUGGCAUGCACAGUAACUGCACGGACCGACCCCAGGGUCCGGUGUGGGAACCCUGAUUCUACUGCGGCGGCUCUCAGAGGCAGGGGCUUGGAAGGUCACCAGGUAGAGCCCCGCUUGUGGGAUUAGUGCCCUUAGGGAAGACCCCAAGACUUGCCGCGCUCCAUGUGAGGAGGCCAGGAAAGGGCAGGGGUUAGCAGGCGAGAAGUGGGCCCUGCCCAGCAGCUGCAUUUCCCGCACCUCAUCCUGGGAGCAGCAGCAGGUGGGAGGAGGCGGGGCGAACCUCUCCCCCACCAAGGGCCCAGGUGUGGGAGGCAGCACGGGCCUCGCGUGUGGGAGCACUGUGGCUCAGUGGUGCUGUUGUGUGGACCACACUUUGCUUACUGGGUCAUCAGCGGACACCUGCGUUGUUUCCACUUUGCUUCUCUGUGCAGUGCUGGGUGUGGGACAGGGUGAUGAUACCCCAAGGCCCUUCCACUUCCGGGCAGCAGCGAAUCAUGAUGCUGUGAACACCUGUGUACAAGUGUCUGUGUAGAUUGGCCUGUAAGUCUUAGGUACUUUCCAGUACACACGCUGUGUUCUCACAAUUAAAAUGUGUAAUUAAACUGGGCGUGGUGGCGCACACCUGUAUCCCAGCACUCACGAGGCUGAGGCAGGUGGAUCGC
RNAcentral lists this long non-coding RNA (938 nucleotides) under Heterocephalus glaber (naked mole-rat). RNAcentral's name for it is "lncRNA (ENSHGLG00100037053.1)". Lineage: Eukaryota; Metazoa; Chordata; Mammalia; Rodentia; Bathyergidae. The record is from RNAcentral.